UACAGAGGGUGCAAGCGUUGUUCGGAAUUAUUGGGCGUAAAGAGCGUGUAGGCGGCCAGGUAGGUCUGCUGUGAAAACUCGAGGCUCAACCUCGAGACGUCGGCGGAAACCAUCUGGCUAGAGUCCGGAAGAGGAGAGUGGAAUUCCUGGUGUAGCGGUGAAAUGCGCAGAUAUCAGGAAGAACACCUGUGGCGAAGGCGGCCCCCUGGGCCGGCCCUGACACUGAGACGCGAAGGCGUGGGGAGCGAACGGG
RNAcentral lists this ribosomal RNA (253 nucleotides) under uncultured bacterium. RNAcentral describes it as "partial 16S ribosomal RNA". It matches the Rfam family "Bacterial small subunit ribosomal RNA", at positions 524 to 776 of the family's 1533-position model. The record is from RNAcentral.